RNAcentral lists this long non-coding RNA (355 nucleotides) under Phascolarctos cinereus (koala). Its description in RNAcentral is "lncRNA (ENSPCIG00000029820.2)". Lineage: Eukaryota; Metazoa; Chordata; Mammalia; Diprotodontia; Phascolarctidae. The record is from RNAcentral.
AAGGCUUCUUAAAGAAGAAGUAGGCCUUACAUCAAAAAACUCCAGCUAACUGGACAUAAUGAUGAAAGGGAAAGAAUUAAUUGUGCUUCUUAGAUACUGGAGCUGGAAGUAGACUAAAUGGAUAUCCACAAAAGGGAUGGGGAGAUGUUUCCCUAAACAAAAGUACCUUUCUUUGAGGCUGCCAAAUGACCCAUCACAGAAGAGGACUCCCAAGGAAGGGUUGAAUUGCAUCUCUUCCAAGCUGCAAACUGAAGAGUCAAGAGAGACUGGACAUGUUAGCUCCAAAGCAAAGAUUACUGGAGCUAAGCAGGAAAACCAGCUUUGGGGUGAAAUGUAGAGAAAUAAUUCAAAUGGU